AAGCAUCAGGAUAGUCGGUAAAUAGCUCAUUUCAUCGAGGACUACAAUUGGAUUAGCAUCCUCAAAAUAUGUGGUGAGCCCUCUAACAAGAGUAAAGAGAUUGUGGCCGAAGAUCGGGAAUAGGAUUAUAUCGAACUCCUAGUACUGCAUCAGGAUAGUCGGUAAAUAGCUCAUUUCAUCGAGGACUACAAUUGGAUUGGCAUCCUUAAAAUAUUUGGAAAUAGCUUAAAUUCUUUAGAACAUGAUAUUUGAUAACGGUUGCUCACCGGGAAAAAGAGAAACUGAUAUUAAAGCCUUGCGGGGUUUCGAUUAACAAUUUGGGUGAUGAGUGUCGAUCAGGACAACGCGACGGUUGUCACGGGCUCGAUAGGAGUUCCAGGUCGUGACAAAUGGUCAUCUUGCUCAGUAGCUUAUGAAUUGUUUCGAUUGUAAAGUCUUGGUGAAGAUAUCGGCUACUUGCAAAUUUGUGGAGAUAUAGAAUGGCUCGAUUCUACUACCAACACUUUCUCACGAAUGAAGGGACAAUUCAUUUUAAUGCGCUUUGUUUUCUUAUGAAACACUAGAUUCUUCUUGAUAUGGAUUACAAAUUAACUCUCUGAAUAGAGAUUUAUCGCAUCAACAUGAUUAACCCCAAAAUCUGUCAAUAAGUGUUGUAUCCGUAUUAUCUUGUAGCAUGUAAAUGCCAUUGAACGAUACUCAACUUUAGCUAAACUUCGAGCUACUACAA
Molecule: non-coding RNA, 727 nt
Organism: Theobroma cacao (cacao)
Lineage: Eukaryota; Viridiplantae; Streptophyta; Magnoliopsida; Malvales; Malvaceae
Source: RefSeq, a predicted model, not a curated record